This is a non-coding RNA of Lolium perenne, 3730 nucleotides long. The record is from RefSeq and is a predicted model, not a curated record. Lineage: Eukaryota; Viridiplantae; Streptophyta; Magnoliopsida; Poales; Poaceae.
GCUUCACCGCCCCCUUUCCUCGAGCCUCCGCCUGCCCCAAAAUUUUUCUUGCCCGGGCUCCCUAGCCCACCUCCUCCAUGGCCGGUCGGUUGGCGUCGGUCAUGGCCAUUCUCGACUCGCUACCGUCGUCCCUGAUCUGACUUCCUACUGCAUCUCCUCUCUUGGUGGUGUAGCGGCGGACGUGUGCGGGGUCAGUGGCGAGGUUAGAGCGGCACUGGGCAAGAUCCGUGCGAGGAAACGGAGGGGGCCGACCCUGGACACGGGAGUCGGACUUGCUCGCCGCUGGAGGCGGCAGCCGGCUGGAGGCGUUCGACGACCGGCCCUUGGAGCCAUGGAGUACCACGCCGCCUCUGGCCAUCACCCACCACCACCAGAUUGGAAGAGGGUGAGGAGUCUGAGGAAGAGGCGACGAGGAUCCACCACACGCCGCCUUUCCCAGAUCCCCAAACCCUCACGCUUCACCUCGAUCUCCUCCUGCCAGCAAGUGGCGGCUCCUCGAUGACCGGCCUACCAGCCCAUCGAGUUCGUCAAGAACGGCUUGAUCAUGUGUUGGUCCGCCACGCGCCGUUGCUGGACGAUUAGCCGCUGGCGAGAUCUCUCCCGUGACGGCAACCCAAUGCAUCCACUAAUGGAUUCCAGCCACUGGAGAGUGGAGAUCAUCGUUCGGUCGGCGACCAUGGGAAUUCCGCGUUCUGUUCGUCGUGACUGCAGGAGGGUAAUCUGUGUGCGUUGGAUGCAUCCGGGAAUACAUGGAUCAGGAAACAAAGCAGAUAUUAUACAAGCCGGACUUCAUCAUUGCUGAGCGUGAGGGAGAGAGCUACGUACUGAACAUUCUACUCACCAAGCUGAUCACUAGGGAGCACUGGUCGUAUCUAGCUUGCAAAGAAUGCUCAAAAAUAACAUACAGCAAGAACAAGGUACAUCAACAUCAUUACAACCUUCCCUCCCGUUCUUAAGUUCACAAGUGCUGUAUCCUGUUCCUGAACAAAAAAGAUUAAACAAGUGUCGAUUUGUUCCUCUUUUUUGAUGUUUUGGAAAACAAUUAAUUUUGCAACUGCUCCGAAAAAAGGAAGUAAAAUGCUUGAGUCCACUAAGGCAUUUUAUGUAGACACCCCAAGUACUGAAAAGAAAGUUCAUCUAUAAGGUCAGCACAUCAUAUUGCUUCAUAGUUAUGCCAUUAAUAGAACCCGUAAGACCCUUUAAUCGUCAUGCCACUUGGUGUUGAAAAAUUUAUUUCCUGUCUCUACGUUGUGAGAACUCAAACUUUAAGAACUAUAGUCACUAAAUGGUUGGAGAACAUGUGAUAAAAUAUACCAGACUCAGCAAUUGGGAAAAAUGGGUGUUCUUUCGUUUAAAAGUAUCUCUCCUGUGAAGCAAUAUGCUCGGCAAGGUGUUUUCAUAAUAUAUUGCUUUUUUCAUUAGUUCAAUAUCUCUGCCACUGGGUACACCAUAGAUAAAGGUUCGGGAACGGUGUCAACUUAGUUCUAUAACAACGCAUUAUCGCAGCUUCUGAAAAAACUAUCUAGGAGGCUUUUAUUUCGAGGGAGUUUGAUAGUCAGCCUAAACUGAAAAAUUAACUAGAACUACAUUAGUCAGCCCUGAAAAUGUAGAGUUUGAUUUUAAGUUGAGAAGCUUUGCAACGUUUAGCCCCUAGAAGUUGUAUGUAUCUUCUUUUAUCAUUAUCUUCCACUUUGCACUACAUGCGACUUGAAUUGUUUACGCAGAAUAUGGAUUACGAUAAAUUUUACUAGAGGGGCUCAUACAUAGAUUUGCAGAUUAUUGCUUUGACAUUGUGGUCUUUUGAUGUAUAUAUCACUGAUUUUUUAUUUGUCCUUGAUACACAGGUUACAAGCUAUUUCCAUGAGUUUUCUAGACAUCAUGUUAUGAAAAUACUUCAUAUACGUAUAACACCCCCUCCCUUGUUGGGAGAACAUUCAAGUCAAAUACAUACUUGGUGAAUUGUUUCAAACCCUGAAUACCUACAUUUACCUUUGGAUAGUACUUUUCAUUCUGGGUCCAGGAAGCAUGAAGAGGAGAAACACUCUUAUGUAUAUGCAAAGGGAAGCAAUGCAUCUUUACAGUAUGUUCUUUUUCUCAUCAAAUCUGUAUUCUACAUCAAUAUGAUACUUUCUUUGAGGUCCAUUGCACGUUUGACAUUAAGUAAACAAAGAUGCCAACUUAUUUUGUAGUUCAUUGAAACUAAAAAAAUUCCAAUUCAAUUAUGCUAGCUUCCAUAUUAUGAUAAAAUGUUACUCUGCCAUGGUGCCAUGUGUUCACUAUGUUUAGUGAAACAAAUAAGCGAUAGUCCUCUUGAGUGCUACAAAAUAAGUUAGCAAUAAUCAUAUUCCGAUGUCACGUGUUUAUCCAAGGAUUAUUUCAUUUAGUACAUACUCUUCUUCAGGUAUCAAAAAAAAUCCUCCCAGUAAAUUAGGCUGGAUCCUGAACAUUUUGAUCUUAUUAUUUCCUUCUCCUAUUUUGUUCCUUAUGUAUUGCUAUGUCAUUUUAGCCUACUAUCUUUCUUGAACAUUUUGGCCUUUCCUUUUAUUUCUUCUAUUUAGUUACUUAUGUACUGCUAAUUUAUUGAAUAAGCUAUUAAUGUUUUGGGCUAGGAAGUUACAUUUUUGGAAACCAAUAUAGUUUCUCAUUUCAUCUACUGAAGUUGACGCUGAUUAUAGCUGCAUUUCUCUAUUAUCGUCCUAACCCUUCUCUGGGUUUCAUUUGCGAAUUGAUAACCUGGUACACAAGGACAUGAAUGCAAAUGAGGUAUAACAUGAACUUAGAAGUUUAAACCUACUUCAAUCUAGAACUCUCAAAGAUAGCAAAAGUCCUCUAUGUUGAGUUUGUUCUCCAUGCAGUUCAAACUUCUAAGUUCCAUCUUCUUGAAUCAUGACACAACACUAUAGUUCUAGAUUGUUAAACAAUUUUUAAUUGCAAAUAACACAUUCAUUAACUAGACUGGUGAGGUUUUCAUUGAAUCAUUAUACUGCUUUACCUCUACUAUUAGUCCAAACUUCGAAGUCUGAUCUUUUUUAAGUCAUCGAAUACAUCAAGGGAAUCACCGUGGAGUUCACCCGGUCCAAACACACCAGGGAAGCCGCAUGGGCUCUCUAUGUCAGCCAACCAGAUGGCGAUCGAAAGGAUCCUCUGGUGGGAUGGUGAUGGCUUUGCCAGUGGUGAUGACUGAUGAGGCAGUAUCCUCCUCCGGGGAAAUAUGAGCCACGCCAGCCCGUAAUCACUCUGUCAAUACUUUUCUUAUUUGACAAUGAGGAUGAUGACAGCAAGCGGUGAUGUCCCUGGGCCAAGGAGGCACUUAUCCUAGCUUAGUAUUUGGUUGUUUCCUUUGAGUUUUAUCUACUACAUGUGUGUUAUGUACCUGAUUUCAUUGCCUUCAGUUAUGAUCUUAUCUAUUAAGGGCAUGUUACUGAGGAAAUAAACAGUUCAAAACGCCUACUCUAGGGUGUUGUAGAUGGCAGUUCCAUCUGUAUAUAGGGCUCCACGUGUGUCCAUUUUUUUUUUAAACUUUUGGUCUGUUUGUGUUCUUAUGUGAAAUUUUCAUUACAAUUCAUUUUUGUUCUUAUGUGUGAUACUGUUCAACUUGCACGUUGUAACUUUUGCUCAUUUUGUAUUUCCUAUGAUCAAUGUGCAUUCGGUUCAUGGUAAAGUAGAGCGUAUUUGCAACAAUAAAAUGUUAGUUCCGAAUGCAGAACACAUUGCUUAAUCCAUGUUUGCA